GUGUCAGCAGCCGCGGUAAUACGUAGGGGGCAAGCGUUGUCCGGAUUUAUUGGGCGUAAAGAGCGUGUAGGCGGCCAUGCAGGUCAGCUGUGAAAACUCGAGGCUCAACCUCGAGACGUCGGUUGAAACCGUAUGGCUAGAGUCCGGAAGAGGAGAGUGGAAUUCCCGGUGUAGCGGUGAAAUGCGCAGAUAUCGGGAAGAACACCCGUGGCGAAGGCGGCUCUCUGGGACGGUACUGACGCUGAGACGCGAAAGCGUGGGGAGCGAACAGGAUUAGAAACCCUCGUAGUCC
This 292-nucleotide ribosomal RNA is filed under the name uncultured bacterium. RNAcentral describes it as "partial 16S ribosomal RNA". It matches the Rfam family "Bacterial small subunit ribosomal RNA", at positions 505 to 796 of the family's 1533-position model. The record is from RNAcentral.